Molecule: ribosomal RNA, 793 nt
Filed under: uncultured bacterium
Lineage: Bacteria
Description: bacterial SSU rRNA
Rfam family: Bacterial small subunit ribosomal RNA
Source: RNAcentral
AUGCGCAGCUUAACAUGCAAGUCGAACGGCAGCACGGGAGUAAUCCUGGUGGCGAGUGGCGAACGGGUGAGUAAUAUAUCGGAACGUGCCCAGUCGUGGGGGAUAACGCAGCGAAAGCUGUGCUAAUACCGCAUACGAUCUAUGGAUGAAAGCGGGGGAUCGCAAGACCUCGCGCGAUUGGAGCGGCCGAUAUCAGAUUAGCUAGUUGGUGGGGUAAAGGCCCACCAAGGCGACGAUCUGUAGCUGGUCUGAGAGGACGACCAGCCACACUGGAACUGAGACACGGUCCAGACUCCUACGGGAGGCAGCAGUGGGGAAUUUUGGACAAUGGGCGCAAGCCUGAUCCAGCAAUGCCGCGUGCAGGAUGAAGGCCUUCGGGUUGUAAACUGCUUUUGUACGGAACGAAACGGCGAGCUCUAAUACAGUUUGCUAAUGACGGUACCGUAAGAAUAAGCACCGGCUAACUACGUGCCAGCAGCCGCGGUAAUACGUAGGGUGCGAGCGUUAAUCGGAAUUACUGGGCGUAAAGCGUGCGCAGGCGGUGAUGUAAGACAGAGGUGAAAUCCCCGGGCUCAACCUGGGAACUGCCUUUGUGACUGCAUCGCUGGAGUACGGCAGAGGGGGAUGGAAUUCCGCGUGUAGCAGUGAAAUGCGUAGAUAUGCGGAGGAACACCGAUGGCGAAGCAAUCCCCUGGGCCUGUACUGACGCUCAUGCACGAAAGCGUGGGGAGCAAACAGGAUUAGAUACCCUGGUAGUCCACGCCCUAAACGAUGUCACUGGUGUGGGGUCUUC